GGUUAAGUNCNGCAACGAGCGCAACCCCUAUCUUUAGUUGCCAUCAGGUUGGGCUGGGCACUCUAGAGAGACUGCCGGUGACAAGCCGGAGGAAGGUGGGGNNNACGUCAAGUCCUCAUGGCCCUUAUGUCCUGGGCUACACACGUGCUACAAUGGCGGUGACAGUGGGAAGCUAGGUGGUGACACCAUGCUGAUCUCUAAAAGCCGUCUCAGUUCGGAUUGCACUCUGCAACUCGAGUGCAUGAAGGUGGAAUCGCUAGUAAUCGCGGAUCAGCAUGCCGCGGUGAAUACGUUCCCGGGUCUUGUACACAC
This 312-nucleotide ribosomal RNA is filed under the name uncultured bacterium. RNAcentral's name for it is "bacterial SSU rRNA". It matches the Rfam family "Bacterial small subunit ribosomal RNA", at positions 1078 to 1390 of the family's 1533-position model. The record is from RNAcentral.